UAGACAGACAGCAAGAUUGGCGAUCUUCAGGCUGGUCAGGAACGCACUUUAUCACUCAUGACCGCGGCGUUGGCAGGAGCCAACAUGAUAUACGGUCUUG
Non-coding RNA from Firmicutes bacterium ML8_F2, 100 nucleotides. NCBI's taxonomy places the organism in Bacteria, Bacillati, Bacillota. The record is from Rfam.